Non-coding RNA from Camellia sinensis, 1365 nucleotides. Lineage: Eukaryota; Viridiplantae; Streptophyta; Magnoliopsida; Ericales; Theaceae. The record is from RefSeq and is a predicted model, not a curated record.
UUGAAAAACAUUGCCUCGUUACUCUCUCACUCACUCUCUGCGUCUCGAUCUCUCUCUCUCAACCCUCUCUAAACCCUAAUCUCUCUCAACCGAUCGAAUCAACCUUCUUCAGCCCCGUUUAAUCUAAUCUUAGAGCGAUUGGUGAUUCAUCUCAGAUCCAAUCUCAGAGUGAUUGGUGAUUCAUCUUAGCUCCAAUCUCAGAGCGAUUGGCAAUUUCAAUUUUGAGAUUUCGAAGCUUCAUCGCCUCCACCAUCUGCACCGGUGAGAGGAGCGAGCACCAUCGUUUACUAAUGUUCUGACAAAGUACGUUCCUAAAAAUGGGCAUUUUGGUUUCAAGUCUCUACCGGUUGGAAAUUCUUUGGGAAUCUUAUGGAUGCUGGAAAUUUGUGAAUUUGUGGUGAAGAAAGUUUUGGAACAAGCUCUUACCACAUUCAUGGGAAGGAUGGGAUAUGGGCUGCAUUGGCUUGGCUUUCAAUAAUUGCAUAUUGAAACAAGGACAAAAGACCUGGGGAGAAAUUGGUGUCCGUCUCUAAUGUUGUAAAGGAGCACUGGGCCUCUUAUGAAAGAAACUUCUUUUCCAGAUAUGAUUAUGAAGUGCAACAUUCUGACACUAACUCCGUAUUGAGGAACGUGAAUCUGAAGGAGCAAACAAAAUGACAGAUUAUCUUAGAGACUUGGUUUCUAAGAGCAAGCCAGGUGAUAAGUAUGGAAGUUAUGUCCUUCAAUUUGCAGGGAACUGGUUCAGCUGGUGCUACUGUUAGAAUGUACAUUGAACAGUUUGAGCCCGAUGUCUCUAAACAUGACAUGGACGCCCAAACUGCGCUAAAACCUUUAAUAGAUCUGGCGCUGUCUGUAUCAAAGCGGAAGGACUUCACUAGAAGGGAGAAGCCUAUAGUUAUCACAUAAAUCUGAGUGUCUGAUGUUAAUCUCACACAAUGAAGCUUCAUUAGUAAUCGUGUGAAAGCAGCAAGUGAAGAUGGUGAUGAUGAUGAUAAUUCUAUGAUUGAGACUUGAGAUGUUGACACCAUGGUGUUUGAUAAACACGAAAGCUGAUUGUUACAGCUAAGUGAUGAGUGUUGCAUUGCCAACAGCUGUGAAGGACGGUGAUCAUAAUCAUCUCUGGGCACUAUUGGAUCCCAAAACUUGUACUUGGACAGUUCUUUCAUAGUGUAGAUCAUGUGAUUUAAAACUCUGGAUAAAUGCAUAAUCAGAUAGCAAAAAUUUGCCAUCUUUCAUAAUGUAGAUCAUGUUGAUAAAUGAAUCUUAUGAUUUGGAUACUUUUUUUGAUUUGUAUGUUUGAGGUUGUUAUCAGCUUGAUAUGAUAGAAGUUGAGAAUGAAAGUUAGUAUGCAGGUUGUUUGGUGUA